RNAcentral lists this small nucleolar RNA (115 nucleotides) under Moschus moschiferus (Siberian musk deer). RNAcentral's name for it is "Small nucleolar RNA SNORA70 (ENSMMSG00000011021.1)". It matches the Rfam family "Small nucleolar RNA SNORA70". Rfam says of the family: snoRNA U70 seems to be exclusive to mammals and is a member of the H/ACA class of snoRNA which contain H (ANANNA) and ACA box motifs. The record is from Rfam by way of RNAcentral. Lineage: Eukaryota; Metazoa; Chordata; Mammalia; Artiodactyla; Moschidae.
AUGAAGAACAAUACCAUGAGGGCCCAAUGUACAAUUGUUUCAAACAGCAGCCUCCUCAGUAAUGUAUACAACCUGUUGCCUGUAUAGGUUGCCCUCAGGGACCUUGGAGACAACU